CUACACAUGCAGUCGAGCGGUACACAAGGGAGCUUGCUCCUGAGGUGACGAGCGGCGGACGGGUGAGUAAUGCCUAGGGAUCUGCCCAGUCGAGGGGGAUAACAGUUGGAAACGACUGCUAAUACCGCAUACGCCCUACGGGGGAAGGAGGGGACCUUCGGGCCUUCCGCGAUUGGAUGAACCUAGGUGGGAUUAGCUAGUUGGUGAGGUAAUGGCUCACCAAGGCGACGAUCCCUAGCUGUUCUGAGAGGAUGAUCAGCCACACUGGGACUGAGACACGNCCCAGACUCCUACGGGAGGCAGCAGUGGGGAAUAUUGCACA
RNAcentral lists this ribosomal RNA (322 nucleotides) under bacterium ocnta471lb835offp11.19. Its description in RNAcentral is "bacterial SSU rRNA". It matches the Rfam family "Bacterial small subunit ribosomal RNA", at positions 49 to 370 of the family's 1533-position model. The record is from RNAcentral.